CAAAAGGCUCUUUUAAGAGCCACCCACAGCCUCACAAAAGAAGCUG
This is a regulatory RNA element of Ophiophagus hannah (king cobra), 46 nucleotides long. It matches the Rfam family "Histone 3' UTR stem-loop". From Rfam's summary of the family: The mRNAs of metazoan histone genes lack a poly-A tail. NCBI's taxonomy places the organism in Eukaryota, Metazoa, Chordata, Lepidosauria, Squamata, Elapidae. The record is from Rfam.